GAGAGAGCUCGCCUGCCACACAGAAGGCCCGAGCUCGACCGCGGCUACGCAAGUCGCUGUGGAGACGGGACGUCGCGGGUCGCCCAAGCCAGACACCACGAGGGUGCAGGCCUCCUCCCAUCAUGAACUCGACCAGGAUACAUUCAGGAACCACAUCACAAUCCUUGUUAACUUCCUGAAGUCCAAGCACUACCCCGAUCCUUGGCAGGUUGAUUCAUCAAUGUUUGUGCUGUCCCUUCAAAGAUGGAAGCUAAACUGGGUGUCCUCUCUGCUGGCAUUAGUUGAUGGACAUUAAAGAUCCCAUGAUGUCCUCUGUGAAGAGUCGGCCAGCACAUGAGAGAGAACAACGCGACGGGACUCGAUGGUUCAACAGUCACGGUACAUGAGGUGAACAUGAGUGAGUUGAGCCGGCAGGACUGGGACAGUGGGUGGCGGAAACAACUCAAUGCGGCAAUCGUUGAACAUUCGAUGCAAUGGUGAACUUCCUCAUUUGACUUUG
This 499-nucleotide long non-coding RNA is filed under the name Eptatretus burgeri (inshore hagfish). Its description in RNAcentral is "lncRNA (ENSEBUG00000017323.1)". The record is from RNAcentral. Lineage: Eukaryota; Metazoa; Chordata; Myxini; Myxiniformes; Myxinidae.